Molecule: ribosomal RNA, 726 nt
Filed under: uncultured bacterium
Lineage: Bacteria
Description: bacterial SSU rRNA
Rfam family: Bacterial small subunit ribosomal RNA
Source: RNAcentral
GCCUUACACAUGCAAGUCGAACGGCAGCACGGGGGCAACCCUGGUGGCGAGUGGCGAACGGGUGAGUAAUGCAUCGGAACGUGCCCAGUAGUGGGGGAUAACCAGUCGAAAGACUGGCUAAUACCGCAUACGACCUACGGGUGAAAGCGGGGGACCGUAAGGCCUCGCGCUAUUGGAGCGGCCGAUGUCUGAUUAGCUAGUUGGCGGGGUAAAAGCCCACCAAGGCGACGAUCAGUAGCUGGUCUGAGAGGACGACCAGCCACACUGGGACUGAGACACGGCCCAGACUCCUACGGGAGGCAGCAGUGGGGAAUUUUGGACAAUGGGCGCAAGCCUGAUCCAGCCAUGCCGCGUGCGGGAAGAAGGCCUUCGGGUUGUAAACCGCUUUUGGCAGGAACGAAACGGCGACUCCUAAUACGGGUCGUUAAUGACGGUACCUGCAGAAUAAGCACCGGCUAACUACGUGCCAGCAGCCGCGGUAAUACGUAGGGUGCAAGCGUUAAUCGGAAUUACUGGGCGUAAAGCGUACGCAGGCGGCUUUGCAAGACAGGUGUGAAAUCCCCGGGCCUAACCUGGGAACUGCAUUUGUGACUGCAUGGCUAGAGUCUGUCAGAGGGGGGUGGAAUUCCACGUGUAGCAGUGAAAUGCGUAGAGAUGUGGAAGAACACCGAUGGCGAAGGCAGCCCCCUGGGAUGAGACUGACGCUCAUGUACGAAAGCGUGGGGA